GUGGGUAUAGCUCAGUGGUAGAGUGGGUGCUUAGCAUAUAUGAGGUCCUGGGUUCAAUCCCCAUUACCUCCA
Molecule: transfer RNA, 72 nt
Filed under: Camelus bactrianus (Bactrian camel)
Lineage: Eukaryota; Metazoa; Chordata; Mammalia; Artiodactyla; Camelidae
Also listed under: 2 other names
Rfam family: tRNA
About the family: Transfer RNA (tRNA) molecules are approximately 80 nucleotides in length.
Source: Rfam by way of RNAcentral